Molecule: long non-coding RNA, 4296 nt
Organism: Lytechinus pictus (painted urchin)
Lineage: Eukaryota; Metazoa; Echinodermata; Echinoidea; Temnopleuroida; Toxopneustidae
Exons: 3
Source: RefSeq, a predicted model, not a curated record
AUUUGAAAAUAAUUCCGUUGCGUUGCAGUUUAUUGAGCUAGCUCGAACGAGAAGUGCGACGAAGAAGGCCGUUAUUCGUUAAUAAUUCUUUUAAAGAAUACGGGUCAGAUAUGGACAACGACCUCGAAGACAUUUGCAGUAGGCUAAACAGAGAAAGAGAGGGAGAACCAAAACUACCUGUCCUGGCAUCACACUUGAGGAGGAGAUGAAGUCGGUGAAUAUGACCUAGCCCGGGGGAGUUUCCAGAAGAAGGCCCAGAACCGCCGACCGCCAGGAGUGGAGGUCCUUCGUUGUUGCCCUACGUGCCAGGCGGCAUCAGGCAGUAGAUGAUGUAAGUUGAAAUGGAAGGUGUCCUGAAUCUGCACCCAGUCAUCUGGUUUCGUAACACCUUUCAUAGCGCCAUUGGAACAUGCUCCCUACCAGUAUAACAUCGAACAUAUUGGAAGAAUAACGGCCAAUGGGAAGUGCCUUUUAUACCCCUACUUGCCACACAGCAGUCUGUGGUUUAGCGCAAUCUAAACUGGAUUAUUGUAGCUCUUCGUGCUUGAAUUAGGGCGAUCUGGACCGACUGCAGAUAGUACAGAAUGCUGCACCUAUUGUGCCAUUUGCCAUACACCCACUUCGCUGGCUGCAAGUCAAGGAAAGGAUGUACAUGAACAUCAGUGUCCGUCUACUGAUUUUCAAAGUCAAUGACAGGGAUCCAGAUUACAUGUAUUAAAAGGAAUGCCUUGUGCGUCAUUUUCGUUCUAGGCGCACUUGCCUUUUUAUUUUUGUGAUCCUUAGUCUACCAUGCACCUACAAAUUAGCUACUGGUGAUGAAACUUUCUCCACUACUGCUCCAAGGCCAUGGAAUUAGCUCCAUCCUCUCCUCCAAUUUUUAACAACCUUGGAUCAAUAUCAUUUGAGAAGACCUACCACAUUCCUGAUCAUCUUUGCUCUGGACUUGGAACAAUACUGUCACUGCCUGGUAAUUUGAAUUUUUUUAAAUCUCAUGUGCUGACUAGGAUGGCAUCUCAAAGUGCUUUGUAUCUUUGUAACCAUGGAUAUGGCCUUUGAUUACUUUUUAACAAAACUGAAAAAUUCAUCAAAAUAGGACAAGGGAUAAUAAAGUAAUGUAUGACAUUCUAAGCUCUGCAUUAUUUUGGUGAAAGACCUCUAAGCAUAUGCAAGUAGCCUGCUGAUGAUGUCAUACAGACGUACACGUACAUGUAUCCCCAACUUAUUAUUUUGUAUAUAAAAUUGUGUAUUUAAAUUGGAUUGUAAACUGCAUUGAUGUGACUUACCUGUAUUGAUUAUUGCUGGAAGUUCUUUUGCUACAUGGGAUUGGAAGACAUACUUAUUACACACAUGAAAUAAUUACUAUUUCAUCUGGUAACAGAACAAUAAAAAUGUGGGCAUGAUAUCAUAAACUUAUCUACUUGCAUGUGUUAAUUACCAAUAUUUUUGUAAUUAUUUCUUAUCUGAUUUUGAUAAAAUUUUCACUAUUUUGCAUGGUAAAUAUUACUUUAUUUGUCAUAGAUAUAAUUAUGCUGAGCCCGGAUAUACAAGUACCCCUUUAAAGAUAAAUUACAAGUUGUAGUAACAAUCUUAAAAUGAGUUCGAACAGAAUCCAAAUAUAGCUCGAGAAGAAAAUGCGUAAUUGCUGAGAAAUGAGCAAAAUAAGCAUGUAAAUCUAUCAAAUGUCAGGUAUUUUUCGAUCAAUUAUAUUACACUGUCCUGUCUCACAUAUGUUUUUCUGUGUUAGUGAUCAUCAGAAUUAUUGAUUUUAAAGAUAAAUUCCAGUUCUGGUAACGAUCUCAAAAUGACUUUUUACAGAAUCUAAUAUAAUGACCACCCAAGUGUCUGUAUGAAUAAAAAAUGUGUGCCAAAGGAUUCUGGAAGAAAUUGUGUAAUUGCUGAGAAAUAAGCAAAAUAAGCGCGGAUUCAGUCACUUCCGUCGGGUCUUUAUUCCAGAAAUAAUAAUACACUGUCCCACGUGUGCCUAUCUGUGUUGGUGAUCUUCAGUUUGAACCUUCUUAGCGUAGAUUUCAAGAUUUCACAAAGUUCAGUUUAUGUAACUGUACCAGAUCUAGAUCCUCGAUGAUAUACUGACAAUUAAGCCUGGUUUUACAGACUUUCUCAUGAAAUCAGUGUUUACUGCAACUACUGGCAUUUCUCUUUAAGUUCAAAAUUCAUGAUUUUACAAAGAUACAAGUUUACAUUAAUGUAACAGAUCUAGAUCAUGUACAAUAUUUUGACAAUUAACCUUAAUUUAAAAGACUUUCUCAAGAAAUAAUUAUUUGCUGCAACUACUGUCAUUUACCCCUAAGUGAUAAUGAAAACAAUCACAAACUUUUCAUAAGAAUUAAUGUACAUGUAUGAUUCUUAAACCCAAAUGCAAGCUUCCAUAAAUCCUGAAAUCAAUGCAACUCAGGUAUUUUUUUUUACAUACAUUAUAUUUUUACCUACAUUACAUAGAUCUCUAAUGUUUAAGGUAUAUUUAAUUACAAUUUCAACAAAAAAGCUAUAUUCUUGGAGAUCAUUAUUAUUCAUAAUGCCUCUGUUAUGUAUUAAUGUAUUAUGUAUUGGUAUAACAAACAUUGUAAUUAUUUCAUUCCUUUGACUCUUAAUACUGCAUUUUCAUAGAAAAGUGUUUUUUUUUUUAAUCUAUUUCUUUUCCUUUUUUUGCUGGUAAUAUCAUGUUAUGCAACUUUUAUUUAUUAAUAGAAUAUUUGUCAUGAUUUCCUACAUGUAAUUGAAAUGCGUACACGUAUUUGAUUUUGUUUUCCAUUUUUGUAUAUAUUCUUUUUCUGGGGGGGGGGGGGGGUCAUGUUCUUGAGACUGAGUCAAGUUAUGCAAGGCCCUGGAAUGGAGGAUCAUUAUAUUGUUACUGGGAAUGCUGGACAUUGUCAGACCACCUCAGUAUUCACCAACAAUAGAUAAUCCUCCAUGACAAGGUCUUUGAAGUGGUGUGUGUACAUUACAUGUAGAAUUUAAUUUAAAUGUUUAUGUCAUCACGUCAGAAUACGUUAAAAUAUCGUAGUUGACUCCAAAAGACGUCAUAUUCAUUUCAAUAUGCGACGUCAAUAUGACGUCUAUUACUAGUCUGCAAUAUGUUACAAAGUCGUCAUUCAGACGUCGUAGUCGACUUAUAAAGACGUCAUAAUUACAGCAAUAUGACGUCUGAAACUGGUCAGGAAUAGGUUACAAAGUUGUCAUUAAGACGUCGUAGUUGACUUUUGAAGACGUCAUGAUUACAUCAAUAUGACGUCUAAAACCGGUCAGGAAUAGGUUACACGGACGUCAUUACGACGUCGUAGUCGACUCUCGAAGACGUCAUAAUCACGUCAAUACACGACGUCAAGCUGACCCUUGAUACUGGUCAGGAAAACGUUGUAAAAACGUUGCAAAGACGUCAUUAAGACGUCGUAGUCAAUCUUGGAGACGUCAUAAUGACGUCAAUAUACGACGUCAUAAUGACGUUAUUCGCGGGUGCAAGAUCCCGUCAAUAAGACGUCCUGUUACGACGUCAAAAUGACGUGACACUCGUCGUUAAACUGACGUAAUUAUGACGUCAUUUUUACCAGUUUCUGCUAUCAGGGGGGGGGGGGUCGAUCAAGUAAGUUUGCUUGUCUAUCCAUGUCACCCUUGGUAUCCCCCAGCAAUAAGGGGAAAAUAAAUCGAGAGAGAAGGAAAAUAAUGGGAAGGGAAAGAGGAACUAAAACUAAGUCUAAGGGGAAAACAAAAAAUAAAGAUGGGGUAGAAUAGAGAGGCUGCAUGCACCUGGGGAUGCAAAUGUGUCGAUUAAUAUAGAAAAUAAAGAAGAAAAACAAGAAAAAAAAUGUAGUUCAAGACCAGAAUUUCCAGAAACGCCCUCGUCGAUCCUUUGCAGCUGGCAAGGCCUUUCACAGUAAGUACGAGAUAUGUCAUAGGCCUACCGUCACAUAACUAGAAGAAAUUGAAGAAGGAAAUACAAGCAUCAAAUGUGCCUAUUUAAAAAUACCAUACUAUUCUGAUGCGCAGAAUUAGUCGCGACGUCGGACUCCUUCUGUCAUGUCUGUGUAGUCUGCUUCCUUCAAUUUUGAACUUGAAGAAUCUGGCAGAAUUUGGACUGGAUAGUGGAUAUAGAUAAGUAAAUUCCAGAAUAUCUAGUGAUCUGGAACAGUACUUAUAAUAAGCUGUAUAUUUAGGACCUACAAUCUACAGUUGAAUUUUCUUUGCACUUGCAGAUAAUCGGUAACUGCAACCAUUGAUCCCCUCCGAAAGAUCACGGAGUCAGCUUCUGUGUGCGUACAGUCCGACAAUAGUAUAUUCGUG